RNAcentral lists this long non-coding RNA (614 nucleotides) under Capsicum annuum. Its description in RNAcentral is "long non-coding RNA (CANN_LNC021869)". Lineage: Eukaryota; Viridiplantae; Streptophyta; Magnoliopsida; Solanales; Solanaceae. The record is from RNAcentral.
AGGGCGAGCCUUAAACUUGGGAAUUUUGGCCAUCAUUUCUUCCUCUAGCUCAGCUGAACUCUUUACUCUUGUUGGACGAACACGUUGCGCUGUUACAAAUUCAGGUUCUUUAGGCCUGGUCAAUAUAAGCUUGUGCUUCCUCUGCAUCUCUCCAGCUGGAUCAUCCUGUGAAGUUGAAUUGCUCAUGGGAGGCAGUGACAUCUCCCUGGUGCUAGAUUGGAACUUUUUCAUCAUUUCUGCUAUUGAAACGAAUGGAGGAACUGGUUCCCGAGCAUACAUCUUAAGAGAGUAGAAACAAUGUUAAGUUAGAUUCACAACAUCCAAAAUUUCUGUAUAUUCCAAAAUGCAAGAAAAGGAAAAUAUUGUCAUACAAACCUUUCUGUCUUGCUUAUGAACUUCUGCAGUCAAAGCAAACAUCCCACUUGGCCUUACUGUUUCCUUAAUUCCAGAAGACGUUAGCACAGCUGCACGUUCUUCGUUCCUAUUUGGCCUUACCUCUUCCGUACUUCCAGAAGACUUGAGCACAGUUGCACUCUCUUCGUUCCCAUUUGGCCUUACCUCUUCUGGAACCUUACUUCCAGAAGAGGUGACAACAACUACAGGUUCUUCCUUCC